CUUUAUGACCCCUGCCACGUGAAGGCUGCCAUCCAAAAAGUGCGACUACUGAGUGAAGGCAUUACAGCCAGCAGCUGCACAAAGACAUUGGAGUUGAGCAGAGAUCUCAGAUCCUUAAGUGAUCAAUUUUGCUUCAAAAUCGUCUCACUCCCUUUUCAUAAAGCAACCACAGAAAGAUGGCCAGUACCCAUGAGCAGGAUGAAGCACAGCAGCACAAAGGCAGAGGGACAAAUGGAAAACCAGAAUUCACAUCUGAGUGAUACUGCAAGGCUUUGGAAGUGCAGUCUGAGGGAGGGAAAGGAUUUGAGCCCUUCACAGCAGAA
This is a long non-coding RNA of Sceloporus undulatus (fence lizard), 323 nucleotides long. RefSeq lists it as uncharacterized. The record is from RefSeq and is a predicted model, not a curated record. The transcript has 3 exons. Lineage: Eukaryota; Metazoa; Chordata; Lepidosauria; Squamata; Phrynosomatidae.